UACGGAGGGUGCGAGCGUUGUCCGGAAUCACUGGGCGUAAAGGGCGCGUAGGUGGCGCGGCAAGUCAACGGUGAAAGCUCGACGCUCAACGUCGAGUCGGCCGUCGAUACUGCUGGGCUUGAGCACUGUAGAGGCAGAUGGAAUUCCGGGUGUAGCGGUGGAAUGCGUAGAGAUCCGGAAGAACACCGGUGGCGAAGGCGGUCUGCUGGGCAGUAGCUGACACUGAGGCGCGACAGCGUGGGGAGCAACAGG
RNAcentral lists this ribosomal RNA (252 nucleotides) under uncultured bacterium. RNAcentral describes it as "partial 16S ribosomal RNA". It matches the Rfam family "Bacterial small subunit ribosomal RNA", at positions 524 to 775 of the family's 1533-position model. The record is from RNAcentral.